AACGAACGCUGGCGGCAUGCCUAACACUUGCAAGUCGAACGAGACCUUCGGGUCUAGUGGCGCACGGGUGCGUAACGCGUGGGAACCUGCCUUUAGGUUCGGAAUAACUCAGAGAAAUUUGAGCUAAUACCGGAUGAUGUCUUCGGACCAAAGAUUUAUCGCCUUUAGAUGGGCCCGCGUUGGAUUAGCUAGUUGGUGGGGUAAAGGCCUACCAAGGCGACGAUCCAUAGCUGGUCUGAGAGGAUGAUCAGCCACACUGGGACUGAGACACGGCCCAGACUCCUACGGGAGGCAGCAGUGGGGAAUAUUGGACAAUGGGCGAAAGCCUGAUCCAGCAAUGCCGCGUGAGUGAUGAAGGCCUUAGGGUUGUAAAGCUCUUUUACCCGAGAUGAUAAUGACAGUAUCGGGAGAAUAAGCUCCGGCUAACUCCGUG
RNAcentral lists this ribosomal RNA (433 nucleotides) under uncultured bacterium. Its description in RNAcentral is "partial 16S ribosomal RNA". It matches the Rfam family "Bacterial small subunit ribosomal RNA", at positions 29 to 507 of the family's 1533-position model. The record is from RNAcentral.